UCCAUGGUGGCUCAGAGGUUAAAGCGUCUGCCUGCAAGGCUGAAGACCCGGGUUCAAUCCCUGGGUCAGGAA
Ovis aries (sheep) is the source of this 72-nucleotide transfer RNA. It matches the Rfam family "tRNA". Rfam says of the family: Transfer RNA (tRNA) molecules are approximately 80 nucleotides in length. Their secondary structure includes four short double-helical elements and three loops (D, anti-codon, and T loops). Further hydrogen bonds mediate the characteristic L-shaped molecular structure. tRNAs have two regions of fundamental functional importance: the anti-codon, which is responsible for specific mRNA codon recognition, and the 3' end, to which the tRNAs corresponding amino acid is attached (by aminoacyl-tRNA synthetases). tRNAs cope with the degeneracy of the genetic code in two manners: having more than one tRNA (with a specific anti-codon) for a particular amino acid; and 'wobble' base-pairing, i.e. permitting non-standard base-pairing at the 3rd anti-codon position. The record is from Rfam. Lineage: Eukaryota; Metazoa; Chordata; Mammalia; Artiodactyla; Bovidae.